UACGGAGGGGGCUAGCGUUGUUCGGAAUUACUGGGCGUAAAGCGCACGUAGGCGGCUUUGUAAGUUAGAGGUGAAAGCCCGGGGCUCAACUCCGGAAUUGCCUUUAAGACUGCAUCGCUAGAAUUGUGGAGAGGUAAGUGGAAUUCCGAGUGUAGAGGUGAAAUUCGUAGAUAUUCGGAAGAACACCAGUGGCGAAGGCGACUUACUGGACACAUAUUGACGCUGAGGUGCGAAAGCGCGGGGAGCAAACAGG
RNAcentral lists this ribosomal RNA (253 nucleotides) under uncultured bacterium. RNAcentral's name for it is "partial 16S ribosomal RNA". It matches the Rfam family "Bacterial small subunit ribosomal RNA", at positions 524 to 776 of the family's 1533-position model. The record is from RNAcentral.